RNAcentral lists this unclassified non-coding RNA (332 nucleotides) under soil metagenome. RNAcentral's name for it is "partial contains 5.8S ribosomal RNA, internal transcribed spacer 2, and large subunit ribosomal RNA". The stretch from base 1 to 120 matches the Rfam family "5.8S ribosomal RNA", at positions 35 to 154 of the family's 154-position model. The record is from RNAcentral.
GAUGAAGAACGUAGCAAAAUGCGAUAAGUAAUGUGAAUUGCAGAAUUCAGUGAAUCAUCGAAUCUUUGAACGCACAUUGCGCCCGCCAGUAUUCUGGCGGGCAUGCCUGUUCGAGCGUCAUUUCAACCCUCAAGCACAGCUUGGUGUUGGGACUCGCGUUAAUUCGCGUUCCCCAAAUUGAUUGGCGGUCACGUCGAGCUUCCAUAGCGUAGUAGUAAAACCCUCGUUACUGGUAAUCGUCGCGGCCACGCCGUUAAACCCCAACUUCUGAAUGUCGACCUCGGAUCAGGUAGGAAUACCCGCUGAACUUAAGCAUAUCAAUAAGCGGAGGA